This is a long non-coding RNA of Lagopus leucura (white-tailed ptarmigan), 590 nucleotides long. RefSeq lists it as uncharacterized. The record is from RefSeq and is a predicted model, not a curated record. Lineage: Eukaryota; Metazoa; Chordata; Aves; Galliformes; Phasianidae. The transcript has 3 exons.
UGCAAUGGCAGUACCACGUUGUAUAAAUAACUGUCAGAAAAAGCCUGGUUUGUGACUUUUCCUCCUGUGCAUACAAGCAACUGGGUAGCCUGCUGUAUGCAUGUCACAUAAAGUGCCCUUGGGUCUUGAGGCUGGGAACAGAGAAACAGGAGGGAAAUAUGUUGGAAAUUGGAAGAAGCUUACAAAAGACUCACAGUAGUCACUGCUGGAAAACAUCUCAGCAAAACAGAUGGAACCUGAAAUCAAUCAGACAAAUUGGAUCAGAUGUCUGAAGGACAAGCCAACCAAACUUCUUUGUAAGAUUGUUUGCUCUUGCAACUCUCUGUGGAAAAUUGUUCUAUGCUUCAGUGCUUUGUACUGCUCAGAAACUUUCUGCUUUUCUGCCAGUGAGCCCUCUGUUCAGGGCCAAUUUACAUCUAGCUUUAUUGUGCUGUUUAUUAUCUUGAUGUAUUCAUAACCACGGCCCCAGCAGGCAUUUGUUUUUCAGCCUAUAAAGCCUAGCAAAAGUAAUCUUGUGUGCGUGUGGUUCUAAAGAAGUGCCUUGUUUAUUCUGGUGACAAUAAAACACAAACCAAAGCUACAGAUCUGGA